AACAGAAAAAACAAAGAUAACAGUGGUUUAAACUAAAUAGGAGUUUUUCUUCUUACAUAAGUCUAGAAGUAGGUGGUGUCCAGGUUCCUAUCUUUCUGCUCUGCUAUCCUCAGUGCAUGAUUUUUAUCCUCAGAUUACCUCACUCUCACUGUUCAAGUUUGCUCCUGGAGGCAGUGGGGAAGGCAAGAAAACUGGACUUUCUCUGCUUGAGUUAGCUUCCCUGAGGCCAUUUUCCAGAACCAGCAGCACCUGAACUUAUGUUUCGACCAGAACUGGGUCACACUGAUGGCCACACCUAGCUGCUAGGGAGGCUGAGAAGUCAAUGUGGCAAUGUGACCAGCUAAAAGUUGGAUUCUUUUACUAAGGAAGAAGGGAAGAGGGAAUGUUUGGUAGGCAACUUUGGAUUUUAAACUCAGCCAGCCUUGUUGGCUACCUAAAUUCUGUGUACCUUCUUCUUCCGAGAGAGAAAACACUCACCCCUCUCUCCCUGAAGAGAAACCACCAGAAAUCCAGCCCAUUAUUGCAUACUAGAUGAAAGACCAUGCUAUCUGGAGACAGUCCCCUCCAUCAUGUUAGGGUGUGGCUCCUUGUGUUCUGGCCACCUACAAACUGAAAGACAAGUUUUCUGCCCUGAGAGCACCAGAUGCAUAAUGCAAAGGUGCAGGAAAACUGACCUUUUAAAUUUUUUAGAGACAGGGUCUUACUCUGUUGUCCAGUCUAGAGUACAGUGGUGUGAUCAUAGCUUACUGCAGCCUUGAACUUCUGGGCUCAAGUGAUCCUUCCACCUCAGUCCCCCUAGUAGCUAGGACUACAGGCACAUGCCACGAACGCCUGGCUAAACAUUUUUUUUUGUAGAGAUGGAGUAUUGCUAUGUUGCUCAGGCUGGUCUUAAACUCCUGGUCUCAAGCAAUCUUCUCACCUCAGCCUCCCAAAGCACUGGGAUCACUGGUGUGAGCCACCAUGCCCAAGAUCCCUAAAAUUGACCUUUUAGAAAAAGGGAGAAAUAGAAAUAUAGUGGCCACUGAUCCAUAGCAAUUUGAAAGUACCACUUGGCAAAAAUAAUUAAAUCUCUCUGCUAUAGUUCAUGAAUAUAUUCCUUGGUUUGCCUAUCAGGCAACCCCUGAUUCACCUUUCUGAGAGGAAUUCCUUUACCUAAUGUCCUCAGGGGGCCUUGGUUUUACUUUCUUGGAGGUUUUUAUUGUACAUUAAUUUUCAGACACAAUCUGAAUGGGCAUUGGAAAGUAUACCCUUCUUGGAGGCUGGGCAGCCUUAGCAGUUUACUUCCUAUAAUUGUGAGUCUGGGGGCAGGCUUGGGAAUUAGAGUAUAGAUCCGUAACAGCUACAGUCUAUUGCAGGCCAGGUUUGGGUUUUUGUUGUUGUUUUGUUCUGUUUCUUGGCCAAGUGGAUUCCUAAAACUUUAGUAAGUUUCUGGUCUGUUGUCUUCAGUCAUUUACAUGGACAGUAUUAACCAAGGUAAAAUACAUUGUUUUUAACAAAGAACCUCAUCAUUUACUUGCUGGCCUCUGUGUGCUCUCCAUCCCCUUUGUUCUUACAGGAAUGGUACCUCCUUGAGAUCCUUUGAGACUGUAGGCUUGCAUGGAAUGGCAACAGUCUUAAUCUGAUCUCUUCCCCUAGGAUGGCUCCUAUUAUUUGGCAGAAAAUUCUUAAGGGAAGGUUCUUAAAAAAGGUUGAGAAAGUUUUAGUAGCUCCCUCAGAGCCUUUACUUAUAAAUGUUUCAGUUUGGAGUACAGUUUUCAAUUCUUCAGGGCUCCAGAUUUGGGACUUGGUCAAUUUAUAUGGUAGACAAAGAGCAAUUCUCUCAGCAAAGCUAUUUUUCCCUUGCGUCACUGCAGACUUGUUAAUCUUAGUCCAAGUCACAUAUCUCUUGUAGGGCUUUGCUGAAAAGAGGCAAGAAGCAGCCAACACAUGCUAGCACUCUGAAGUUCUACCACCUUCGUCUCUGUGGCAGGAAGUCUCAACCUCACCUUGACUUCUGUUGGCAAGAAGUCUCACUGCCCAAAGCCCUACCUCCUCAACUAAGCCAACCCCAGAUUUAGGGCCUUCGACUUGCUGUGCUUUACUUCUAGCUGCCAAAUUCUGUAUAGGUCAAGAUUCUUGGCUGUAAGCAAUGAAAUCUUCUUUAGCUAUUAAACAGAAGGGAAUUGAUGAAUGAGUAUAUAUAGGUCACAGAAUCAAUGGGAGGGUUGAAGAAACAGAUCUAGGCUGAGCUUCUAGGAAUUAUGUCACAAGAGUAGGCUGCUGAAAGAGCUGCUGCUUUUAGAACAAUCAAGAAGCUGCCUGCUGGAUUAGGAAGCUGCCUGCUGAACAGUUGCCAGUUCCAGAGCCACACCACCUCUGCCAUGCUUUAUGCCAGCAAAAAUAGAUACAUCUCUUCCUGCCUCUGUCCCCACGUUACUUGGCUCUGAGUAAAAGUCUCAACCAUGAAGUACAAUCAAGAAGAAAUUGAAAAACAGUCAGAGUUAGAUGAUGAGCUUCAUCGUUUGUCAUGCAGGAUUUUUAUCCCCUGAAGAACCUGCUAGAGAAGUCCACCUUCACCCUUAACCACUGGUGCCUCAACUUAAUACUUUUAAAAUUCAUUUGUUUCUGUUGGAAUUGGGAUACUAAGGUCCAGAGGUGUCCUUCUAAAGCUGGUAGAGGUUUCACGAGUCAUCAGGGACCCAGAACCCUUCUCUUUUGCUGUCCCUUUGUCCUAGUGCAUGGUUUCCACACUGUGGUGCAAGAUGUCUCCUCAAGCUCUAGGCAUUACAUCUGCUAUCCUGCUGUCAGAAAGAAGGAAGGGGAAAAGAAGAUCAUUUCCUUCUCUUUAAGGACAUUUCCCAGAAGUCACACAGAACAUUUCCAUUUAUAUUACUUUGGCCAGAACUUGGUCAUAUGGCCACAUUUAGUUCCAGAAUGAUUAGGAAAUGCAGUCUUUUAUUGAUCCCUGUGCCCAGGAAAAUAUUGGAGGCCUUUUUCAAGGAAAAAGGGGAAAACAGAUAUUGGUUGACAAAUAGCAGUCUCUGCCAUACUGUCCCUGGAUACAUGUCUUUGAGUGAAUGUCCCUUAUUUACCAUUCUGAUUACUUGUUGGAUAUUUUCAAUAUGUGUUACAAUAUGGUUCCAAAAUUGUAUGUGAUAUUCCAACAGCAAGUUGGAUGCAAUGUGUCAUAAAAAUGACCUCAGUGUCAACCAGCAUUUGAAUACCGUGUCUCAAUGCUGUGCACCAAUAAAGAACACAGAAAGUCAGAGUUUUCCA
This 3255-nucleotide long non-coding RNA is filed under the name Homo sapiens (human). RNAcentral describes it as "non-protein coding lnc-NCR3LG1-3:2". Lineage: Eukaryota; Metazoa; Chordata; Mammalia; Primates; Hominidae. The record is from RNAcentral.